RNAcentral lists this ribosomal RNA (269 nucleotides) under uncultured prokaryote. RNAcentral's name for it is "partial 16S ribosomal RNA". It matches the Rfam family "Bacterial small subunit ribosomal RNA", at positions 524 to 792 of the family's 1533-position model. The record is from RNAcentral.
UACGUAGGGGCAAGCGUUGUCCGGAAUUACUGGGCGUAAAGCGCACGCAGGCUGACUUAUAAGUCGGUAGUCUAAUGCGGAGGCUCAACUUCCGUUUAUCUAUCGAUACUGUAAGACUAGAGUAUGUGAGAGGGAAGUGGAAUUCCCGGUGUAGCGGUGAAAUGCGUAGAUAUCGGGGAGGAACACCAGUGGCGAAGGCGACUUCCUGGCACAAUACUGACGCUCAUGUGCGAAAGCUAGGGUAGCGAACGGGAUUAGAUACCCCGGUA